CUACGGGAGGCUCCAGUGAGGAAUAUUGCACAAUGGAGGAAACUCUGAUGCAGCAACGCCGCGUGGAGGAUGACGCAUUUCGGUGUGUAAACUCCUUUUAUAUGUCAAGAAAAUGACGGUAGCAUAUGAAUAAGCACCGGCUAACUCCGUGCCAGCAGCCGCGGUAAUACGGAGGGUGCAAGCGUUACUCGGAAUCACUGGGCGUAAAGGACGCGUAGGCGGGUUGGAAAGUCAGGUGUGAAAUCCUACAGCUUAACUGUAGAACUGCACUUGAAACUUCUAAUCUAGAGUAUGGGAGGGGGAGAUGGAAUUAGUGGUGUAGGGGUAAAAUCCGUAGAUAUCACUAGGAAUACCUAAAGCGAAGGCGAUCUCCCGGAACAUUACUGACGCUAAGGCGUGAAAGCGUGGGGAGCAAACAGGAUUAGAUACCCGCGUAGUC
This 439-nucleotide ribosomal RNA is filed under the name uncultured bacterium. RNAcentral describes it as "partial 16S ribosomal RNA". It matches the Rfam family "Bacterial small subunit ribosomal RNA", at positions 339 to 795 of the family's 1533-position model. The record is from RNAcentral.